Molecule: ribosomal RNA, 200 nt
Filed under: uncultured bacterium
Lineage: Bacteria
Description: partial 16S ribosomal RNA
Rfam family: Bacterial small subunit ribosomal RNA
Source: RNAcentral
GAUGAACGCUAGCGGCAGGCUUAAUACAUGCAAGUCGAGGGGGAUUAACUGGGUAGCAAUACUCGGUUAUGAGACCGGCAAACGGGUGCGGAACACGUACGCAACCUUCCCAAAACUGGUGAAUAGCCCUCCGAAAGGAGGAUUAAUACACCGUAACUUAAUGAAGUGGCAUCACUUUAUUAAUAUAGCUCCGGCGGUUU